RNAcentral lists this ribosomal RNA (198 nucleotides) under Vibrio parahaemolyticus. Its description in RNAcentral is "partial 23S ribosomal RNA". It matches the Rfam family "Bacterial large subunit ribosomal RNA", at positions 520 to 722 of the family's 2925-position model. The record is from RNAcentral. Lineage: Bacteria; Pseudomonadati; Pseudomonadota; Gammaproteobacteria; Vibrionales; Vibrionaceae.
AGAACCCCUGUGAGGGGAGUGAAAUAGCACCAGAAAGUGUGUACAUACAAGCAGUGGGAGCAGGUUUGUUGUGUGAGUGCGUAUUUUUUAUAUAGUGUGUGAGCGAUAUAUAUUCAGUGGCAAGUUAACUAUCGGGGGGAGCCGGGGAAAAAGCGUGUCUUAAGUGGGCGUUCUCUCUCUAUAUAUACACCAGAAACC